GACGAACGCUGGCGGCGUGCCUAAUAUAUGCAAGUAGAACGCUGAAGAGAGGAGCUUGCUCUUCUUGGAUGAGUUGCGAACGGGUGAGUAACGCGUAGGUAACCUGCCUGGUAGCGGGGGAUAACUAUUGGAAACGAUAGCUAAUACCGCAUAAAAUUGAUUAUUGCAUGAUAAUUAAUUGAAAGAUGCAACUGCAUCACUACCAGAUGGACCUGCGUUGUAUUAGCUAGUUGGUGAGGUAACGGCUCACCAAGGCGACGAUACAUAGCCGACCUGAGGGGGUGAGCGGCCACACUGGGACUGAGACACGGCCCAGACUCCUACGGGAGGCAGCAGUAGGGAAACGUCGGCAAUGGGGGGAACCCUGACCGAGCAACGCCGCGUGAGUGAAGAAGGUUUUCGGAUCGUAAAGCUCUGUUGUAAGAGAAGAACGGGUGUGAGAGUGGAAAGUUCACACUGUGACGGUAACUUACCAGAAAGAGACGGCUAACUACGUG
RNAcentral lists this ribosomal RNA (497 nucleotides) under uncultured bacterium. Its description in RNAcentral is "partial 16S ribosomal RNA". It matches the Rfam family "Bacterial small subunit ribosomal RNA", at positions 28 to 507 of the family's 1533-position model. The record is from RNAcentral.